CCUAAGUGAUUGUUUGAUCUCGGCCCACUCGAUAAAGCAUUUACGAUAUUUUUAGUGGCAAUCGAGCGUUGUAAAUCCAGCUACCAAAACAUCUCGCAUGUUCGACACAACGCUACUCUUAAUUAAAUAAACCGCGUUGUAGUAAACAGUCCGGGCUCUUGAUAUAGAACAUAAAAUCGGGUUCGGGACUCGAUGUGUAAAACAUCUGCCACUUGAAAAGAAAAAUUACGAGAAAAAAUUGUAACGCCAGCUUUCGAGCGUUUCAACGCCUUGAUAGAAUUCAGAAAAGAGUUUCAGAUGCCGGCUUGGAACGACCUCGGAUUUAUAAACGGAAACACAUUUUACUUUUACGAUGGGUGGCGGGCUGACGAAUUCCGUGGAGGUAGCGAGGAAGAGGCUCGACUGGCUCCAUUCAUGGGUGGAGAUGUAAGACAAUGAGCGACGACCUUAAAAAAGCCCGCAGAUAAGGCAAUUAUGCUAAUGGUGGGUCGAAAAUUGGGGUUUAUGCGGGAGUGGGGUCUGGGUUAUGGACGGUUCUAAUAGUUUUACUAUCAUUUAUCGUUUGAUUGAUGUUUGGAGUGUAAACUUUGCAAGAGACGUACAUAUUUGCGGAAUCUUAAGAUAUGUUUGUUUAGUGUUUUCUUUAUCGAUUAUAUUUGUUUGUUGUG
Molecule: long non-coding RNA, 668 nt
Organism: Zophobas morio
Lineage: Eukaryota; Metazoa; Arthropoda; Insecta; Coleoptera; Tenebrionidae
Exons: 2
Source: RefSeq, a predicted model, not a curated record